RNAcentral lists this transfer RNA (65 nucleotides) under Sepioloidea lineolata. RNAcentral's name for it is "tRNA-Leu". The record is from RNAcentral. Lineage: Eukaryota; Metazoa; Mollusca; Cephalopoda; Sepiida; Sepiadariidae.
ACAAAGUUGGCAGAAUUAAUGUGAAUAAUUUAGGAUUAUUUAAUAAGAUUGAAUCUUACUUUGAA